UUGCAGUUAAAAGCUCGUAGUUGAAUUUCUAGUCAACCGUUAGCUGGCUUCACAGUCGUUAACGAUUGCCUAUCCGACAUUGAACCUGUAUGGUUAUUAAGUUAACCUACUGGCGAAACUGUCAUUUUACUUUGAAAAAAUUAGAGUGUUUCAGGCAGGCAAUUGCCCGAAUAUCUUAGCAUGGAAUAAUGGAAUAGGACUUCGGUUCAUUUGAUUGGUUAUUGAAUCAGAGUAAUGAUUAAUAGGGACAGUUGGGGGCAUUAGUAUUUAAUUGUCAGAGGUGAAAUUCUUGGAUUUAUUAAAGACUAACUUAUGCGAAAGCAUUUGCCAAGGAUGUUUUCAUUAAUCAAGAACGAAAGUUAGGGGAUCAAAGACGAUCAGAUACCGUCCUAGUCUUAACUAUAAACUAUACCGACUCAGGAUUGGCGAUGCCAUAAGCUUCGUCAGCACUGUAUGAGAAAUUAAAGUCUUUGGGUUCUGGGGGGAGUAUGGUCGCAAGGCUGAAACUUAAAGGAAUUGACGGAAGGGCACCACCA
This 536-nucleotide ribosomal RNA is filed under the name uncultured marine eukaryote. RNAcentral's name for it is "SSU rRNA". It matches the Rfam family "Eukaryotic small subunit ribosomal RNA", at positions 613 to 1172 of the family's 1831-position model. The record is from RNAcentral.